GAUGAACGCUGGCGGCGUGCCUAAUACAUGCAAGUCGAGCGAACAGACGAGGAGCUUGCUCCUCUGACGUUAGCGGCGGACGGGUGAGUAACACGUGGAUAACCUACCUAUAAGACUGGGAUAACUUCGGGAAACCGGAGCUAAUACCGGAUAAUAUAUUGAACCGCAUGGUUCAAUAGUGAAAGACGGUUUUGCUGUCACUUAUAGAUGGAUCCGCGCCGCAUUAGCUAGUUGGUAAGGUAACGGCUUACCAAGGCGACGAUGCGUAGCCGACCUGAGAGGGUGAUCGGCCACACUGGAACUGAGACACGGUCCAGACGCCUACGGGAGGCAGCAGUAGGGAAUCUUCCGCAAUGGGCGAAAGCCUGACGGAGAAAAGCCGCGUGAGUGAUGAAGGUCUUCGGAUCGUAAAACUCUGUUAUUAGGGAAGAACAAAUGUGUAAGUAACUAUGCAAGUCUUGACGGUACCUAAUCAGAAAGCCACGGCUAACUACGUG
This 497-nucleotide ribosomal RNA is filed under the name uncultured bacterium. RNAcentral's name for it is "partial 16S ribosomal RNA". It matches the Rfam family "Bacterial small subunit ribosomal RNA", at positions 28 to 507 of the family's 1533-position model. The record is from RNAcentral.